GCCGCCGUAGCUCAGGGGUUAGAGCGCCUGGCUCAUAACCAGGAGGUCGGGGGUUCAAAUCCCCCCGGCGGCA
This 73-nucleotide transfer RNA is filed under the name Nanoarchaeota archaeon NZ13-N. RNAcentral's name for it is "tRNA-Met". It matches the Rfam family "tRNA". Rfam says of the family: Transfer RNA (tRNA) molecules are approximately 80 nucleotides in length. Their secondary structure includes four short double-helical elements and three loops (D, anti-codon, and T loops). Further hydrogen bonds mediate the characteristic L-shaped molecular structure. tRNAs have two regions of fundamental functional importance: the anti-codon, which is responsible for specific mRNA codon recognition, and the 3' end, to which the tRNAs corresponding amino acid is attached (by aminoacyl-tRNA synthetases). tRNAs cope with the degeneracy of the genetic code in two manners: having more than one tRNA (with a specific anti-codon) for a particular amino acid; and 'wobble' base-pairing, i.e. permitting non-standard base-pairing at the 3rd anti-codon position. Lineage: Archaea; Nanobdellati; Nanobdellota. The record is from RNAcentral. RNAcentral also lists the same sequence under 2 other names.